Molecule: ribosomal RNA, 465 nt
Filed under: Vreelandella stevensii
Lineage: Bacteria; Pseudomonadati; Pseudomonadota; Gammaproteobacteria; Oceanospirillales; Halomonadaceae
Description: partial 16S ribosomal RNA
Rfam family: Bacterial small subunit ribosomal RNA
Source: RNAcentral
CCUACGGGAGGCUGCAGUGGGGAAUAUUGGACAAUGGGCGAAAGCCUGAUCCAGCCAUGCCGCGUGUGUGAAGAAGGCCUUCGGGUUGUAAAGCACUUUCAGUGGGGAAGAAAGCCUUGGGGCUAAUACCCUCGAGGAAGGACAUCACCCACAGAAGAAGCACCGGCUAACCCCGUGCCAGCAGCCGCGGUAAUACGGAGGGUGCGAGCGUUAAUCGGAAUUACUGGGCGUAAAGCGCGCGUAGGCGGUCUGAUAAGCCGGUUGUGAAAGCCCCGGGCUCAACCUGGGAACGGCAUCCGGAACUGUCAGGCUAGAGUGCAGGAGAGGAAGGUAGAAUUCCCGGUGUAGCGGUGAAAUGCGUAGAGAUCGGGAGGAAUACCAGUGGCGAAGGCGGCCUUCUGGACUGACACUGACGCUGAGGUGCGAAAGCGUGGGUAGCAAACAGGAUUAGAUACCCGGGUAGUC